UCCAGACUCCUACGGGAGGCAGCAGUGGGGAAUAUUGCACAAUGGGGGAAACCCUGAUGCAGCGACGCCGCGUGAGUGAAGAAGUAUUUCGGUAUGUAAAGCUCUAUCAGCAGGAACGAGACAAGACGGUACCUGACUAAGAAGCCCCGGCUAACUACGUGCCAGCAGCCGCGGUAAUACGUAGGGGGCAAGCGUUAUCCGGAAUCACUGGGUGUAAAGGGAGCGUAGACGGCUGAGCAAGCCUGAAGUGAAAGGCAGGGGCCCAACCCCUGGACUGCUUUGGGAACUGUACGGCUGGAGUGCAGGAGAGGUAAGUGGAAUUCCUAGUGUAGCGGUGAAAUGCGUAGAUAUUAGGAGGAACACCGGUGGCGAAGGCGGCCUGCUGGACUGUGACUGACGUUGAGGCCCGAAGGCGUGGGGAGCAAACAGGAUUAGAUACCCGUGUACC
Molecule: ribosomal RNA, 448 nt
Filed under: uncultured bacterium
Lineage: Bacteria
Description: bacterial SSU rRNA
Rfam family: Bacterial small subunit ribosomal RNA
Source: RNAcentral